AUCGCUUCUCGGCACUAUGUGCUAAGAUCAAAAGUGUAGUAUCUUUUCUUAUCAGCUUAAUAUCUGAUACAACCCCCAUAGGGGGUUCAGAUUAUUAAACUGAUUUUUGGUAUCGGGUGGACAUGUGGAGCUUGCUCCCGUCCCGCCACUGGUCGUCCUGGCGUUGCACUAUAGCCAGGCGCGGCCUCCCAGAA
Molecule: non-coding RNA, 194 nt
Organism: Harpegnathos saltator (Jerdon's jumping ant)
Lineage: Eukaryota; Metazoa; Arthropoda; Insecta; Hymenoptera; Formicidae
Source: Rfam